GGAUGAGCUAUUUCUCUAGUGUCCUUUUAGCCUUGCUUCUAUUCAAAUCUGGGCAAGUCUCUGAGACGACCCCUGCAGCUGGGUGAUUUCCAAUCUUGAUGGAGAAAACCGGCUGGGUCAAGUGUAUUGACUCCAGCCACAUGAGCUAGAGACUGUUUUCAGAGUCAUCCUGGUCAGUUCUUGACAACCUGGUAGCCACCAGACCACAGAAGGGCAGGUGAACCUGUCUCGAUCCACUUAGAGGUUCUGCAAGGUUCUUGGAGCCUGGCUGGAGGAGCCUCCUCAGCAGCACUGCUGUGUCAAUGUCUAAUAUUAAGGAUAUAGCUUAAACACAGUCUUCUCUCCAACUCCAUCUUGGAGAGGAUCCCUGGAGGUACAGAGAGAAGUAAAGAAGACAUACAGAAAUCUAUCCUAAAAUUCAUUGGAAUCUCAAGGGACCCCCAAAAAUCAAAACAAUCUUGAAAAAGAACAAAGUUGGAGGCCUCACACUUUCUGAUUUCAAAACCCACUGCAAAGUUAAAGUAAUUUUUUAAAAGUGUGGUACUAUCAUAAAGACAGACAUAUAGACCAGUGGACUAGACUAGAUAGCUCAGAAAUAAACCUUUGCACAUAUGGUCAAACAAUUUUUGGUAAGAGUUCCACAACUAUUCAAUAGGGGAAAGAAUGGUCUUUUCAAUAAAUGGUGGUGGAAAAACUGGAUAUUCUCAUGGAAAAGAAAACUAAAGUUGGAUUCUUUUUUUUUUUUUUUUUGAGACAGAAUCUUACUCUGUUGCCCAGGCUGGAGUGUAGUGGCGCAAUGUCAGCUCACUGCAACCUCCGCCUCCCGGGUUCAAGCAAUUCUCUUGCCUCAGCCUCCUGAAUAGUGGGAUUAUAGGCAUGCACCACCACGCUCGGCUAAUUUUUGUAUUUUUAGUAGAGACAGGGUUUCACCACAUUGGCCGGGUUGGUCUCGAACCCCUGACCUCGUGAUCUACCCGCCUCAGUCUCCCAAAGUGCUGGGAUUACAGGCGUAAGCCACCACACCCGGCCUGGAUUCUUACCUUAUAUCAUAUGCAAAGAUUAACUCAAAAUGGAUCUAAGAUCUAUACAUAAAAGCUAAAACUAUAAAACUCCUAAAGGAAAACAUAGGGCAAAACCUCAUGACUUUGGAUUUGUCAAUAAUUUCUUGGAUAUGACACCAAAAGCACAGGGAACCAAAGAAAAAAUAGUUGGAUUCACGGAAAUUAAAAACUUCUGUGCAUCAAAGAACACUAUCAGUAGAGUAAAAAGGCAACCUACAGAACCGGAUGGAAUAUUUAUAAAUCGCAUAUCUGAUAAGUGACCGAUAUCCAGAAUAUAUAAAGAACUCUUCCAACUCAACAAAAACAACCGGAUUUUAAAAUGGGCAAAAAACUUGAAUAUUCUCAAAAGAAGAUAUGCAAAUGGCCAAUAAAAAUAUGGAAAGACAUUAAACAUCACUAAUCAUUAGAGAAAGCAAAUCAAAACCACAACAAAUACCAUUUCAUGCCCAUUGGAAUGCCUACUAUUUAAAAAAUAAGCAUCCCUGACCCUUGUUAUCCUGCAUUGUGGUUAGUAGAUGCACCUGACUUAGCUUACUUCCAAGAAUGCCUGAAGUCUUAUUAGGUCUCCUGAAAUGGUGGUUAGAAAAAUCAAUAAACAAACAAAAACUAUUAUCCACACCAGAUCUCUCCACAGCGCUCAAAAUUAAAAUCAGGUGCUCCUGACUUGUCCCCCUCUUGACUAACCAUGUCAGUUCUCUCUAAAACUAACUGAACUCAAUGACUAGAAAUCUUGGUGAUGCUUUCAAUGUUUUCUUCUUCUAUGCAUGGUGGAGAUUUUGCUCUCUACUGGGUCACUUAAAAUGUCAUGUAUGAAUACUCCAGUAUCUUGUGACAGUUUGAUCAAAAAUAAAUAUGCAGAAUGUAAAAGCACAUUAUCCUAACAGACAGAACCCUCCUCUGUCCUGCAUGAACCACACAUUUCCCAGUUUUUCUCAGUGACUUUUUCACCCCAGAGGAAGCAGAAGAGGCCCUCGACAGCUGGAGCAAUUACAGUUGUGUUUCUUUGUAAUAUGUGACAAGGUAAUCCUUUUUCUUCAGUGGCUUAUUUUGGAUAAAACCAAGUGAAACCAUGGGUGAUGAGGUAAUUCAUUUGUCUGCUG
RNAcentral lists this long non-coding RNA (2161 nucleotides) under Homo sapiens (human). RNAcentral's name for it is "HSALNT0172847". The record is from RNAcentral. Lineage: Eukaryota; Metazoa; Chordata; Mammalia; Primates; Hominidae.